RNAcentral lists this ribosomal RNA (460 nucleotides) under uncultured bacterium. Its description in RNAcentral is "partial 16S ribosomal RNA". It matches the Rfam family "Bacterial small subunit ribosomal RNA", at positions 338 to 795 of the family's 1533-position model. The record is from RNAcentral.
CCUACGGGGUGCAGCAGUGAGGAAUAUUGGUCAAUGGACGAGAGUCUGAACCAGCCAAGUAGCGUGAAGGAUGACUGCCCUAUGGGUUGUAAACUUCUUUUAUAUGGGAAUAAAAUGUUCCACGUGUGGGAUUUUGUAUGUACCAUAUGAAUAAGGAUCGGCUAACUCCGUGCCAGCAGCCGCGGUAAUACGGAGGAUCCGAGCGUUAUCCGGAUUUAUUGGGUUUAAAGGGAGCGUCGGUGGAUUGUUAAGUCAGUUGUGAAAGUUUGCGGCUCAACCGUAAAAUUGCAGUUGAAACUGGCAGUCGUGAGUACAGUAGAGGUGGGCGGAAUUCGUGGUGUAGCGGUGAAAUGCUUAGAUAUCACGAAGAACUCCGAUUGCGAAGGCAGCUCACUGGACUGCAACUGACACUGAGGCUCGAAAGUGUGGGUAUCAAACAGGAUUAGAUACCCGAGUAGUC